UGCAGUCGAACGGUAACAGCACUUCGGUGGCUGACGAGUGGCGAACGGGUGAGUAAUACAUCGGAACGUGCCCGAGAGUGGGGGAUAACGCAGCGAAAGCUGUGCUAAUACCGCAUACGAUCUACGGAUGAAAGCAGGGGACCGCAAGGCCUUGCGCUCAUGGAGCGGCCGAUGGCAGAUUAGGUAGUUGGUGGGAUAAAAGCUUACCAAGCCGACGAUCUGUAGCUGGUCUGAGAGGACGACCAGCCACACUGGGACUGAGACACGGCCCAGACUCCUACGGGAGGCAGCAGUGGGGAAUUUUGGACAAUGGGCGAAAGCCUGAUCCAGCCAUGCCGCGUGCAGGAUGAAGGCCUUCGGGUUGUAAACUGCUUUUGUACGGAACGAAAAGGUCUUUUCUAAUAAAGAAGGCUCAUGACGGUACCGUAAGAAUAAGCACCGGCUAACUACGUGCCAGCAGCCGCGGUAAUACGUAGGGUGCAAGCGUUAAUCGGAAUUACUGGGCGUAAAGCGUGCGCAGGCGG
RNAcentral lists this ribosomal RNA (524 nucleotides) under uncultured bacterium. RNAcentral describes it as "bacterial SSU rRNA". It matches the Rfam family "Bacterial small subunit ribosomal RNA", at positions 56 to 578 of the family's 1533-position model. The record is from RNAcentral.